This 399-nucleotide ribosomal RNA is filed under the name uncultured bacterium. Its description in RNAcentral is "bacterial SSU rRNA". It matches the Rfam family "Bacterial small subunit ribosomal RNA", at positions 358 to 774 of the family's 1533-position model. The record is from RNAcentral.
GGAAUAUUGCACAAUGGGCGAAAGCCUUAUGCAGCGACGCCGCGUGAGUGAAGAAGUAUUUCUGUAUGUAAAGCUCUAUCAGCAGGGAAGAAAAUGACUGUACCUGACUAAUAAGCCCCGGCUAACUACCUGCCAGCAGCCGCGGUAAUACGUAGGGGGCAAUCGUUAUCCGGAUUUACUGGGUGUAAAGGGAGCGUAGACGGCGAAGCAAGUCUGAAGUGAAAACCCAGGGCUCAACCCUGGGACUGCUUUGGAAACUGUUUUGCUAGAGUGUCGGAGAGGUAAGUGGAAUUCCUAGUGUAGCGGUGAAAUGCGUAGAUAUUAGGAGGAACACCAGUGGCGAAGGCGGCUUACUGGACGAUAACUGACGUUGAGGCUCGAAAGCGUGGGGAGCAAACA